Long non-coding RNA from Phasianus colchicus (ring-necked pheasant), 2106 nucleotides. RefSeq lists it as uncharacterized. Lineage: Eukaryota; Metazoa; Chordata; Aves; Galliformes; Phasianidae. The record is from RefSeq and is a predicted model, not a curated record.
AGGGCUGGCAGGUGCAAGGGAAUCAUCUGUACUCCAAGGUUGAUUUUGCUGGCGUAUUUGGUGAGCCCUGAUCCUUGGAAAGGGGCAGAUGAGAGCCAACAGCAGAGUUCUGUGUAAGAAUUUUCAAGAGGAUGUCCACCUUGCACUGGUCUUUCAGAGGCUGAGGUAUCUACUGGUGAAAGAAUCACUAUGCUUCUUUGAGGAACAGAGUCUGAGGUUAUGACUGCUGCUGGAAUGGUGGACCACAGGCAGAAUACACUGUGAGCUUUCUGUCCAGCAGCAUUUAGUAUCUGGAGGAAGCAGGCACUGCUGUUAUUUGCUGUUGCUGGCUGUCAUGCUGCAUGUAAGUCUGGCACCUCAGAGCAAUUGCUUUGGAUUAGAGAUGGAAUUCAGCAUACAAAGGAAAAAUGGUACUCCUAUAUAAAUAACUGAGAGUCUCACAAUGGCCCUUUGAACCAGCUCGUUUGUUCUAGUCACUGCCUGUGAGUAGCAUGAGUUUAUCUAGUACAUGCAGCCAUUGAAAGUAAAAUAAAAUUUAAAAAAAUAACUGAAAAAGAAAACCUGUUACAUUCAAGGUUGUGCAGAUCUAUUCUAUGGGCUAGUUGCCUGUGUCCUAAUUAUAUAAGAACAUUUGUUUAUCCAUGUAGUUAUCUGUUCAUCUUUGUGCUUGCUCCAGUAGCCAGAAAUCACAGUCCCUCUCUUUGUAAGGGUAACCAUGUGAUUGCACAGCUCUUCCGUACUUCUACAGCAUGAUUUAUUUUUAUUUUGCUUCUUCAAGUGGCCUACUGCACACUGAGUAGCUUAAGCUUCCAUUAUCUUUGAACAGCAGCAGUUAUUUAUAUAAAUGAAAUCAUUGUAUUUGCGUUAUUGGCAGUAUAGAGGAUAGGAAAUCAAAUGGCUUAGUUUGCUGGAGUAUUCUGGCAUUCACUUCCAGCAUCAUGGGGUCUGCAUCAAUCAUUAGCUUUUAGAAGCUAGUACUAUCAAUAUUUAUUCUGGAUCUUAAAUAUCUCAGUUUUCCUCAAGAAAUACAAGAUAAAGGCAAUAGGAGGAUUUGAAUGUUCUGAUGUAUUUUUUGUUUGUUUUAAAGAAGCAAGCUGACAGCUGAAUUGUGUAGUUCAUAACUUGUAGUUAAUUAGCAGAAUUCCCUCAGCUGUUUGCAUAAGCUGAUGGUGAAAGAGUCACAAUGUAUUGUUAAAGGGCAAGUAGAAUAAUUUGUUCCUAUAGAAGAGACAAAAAUUAUAUGUUUAUUGUGCAUUCAAUUUUUCCUUUUAGAUGAAUAGGAGAGGUCACCAAAAUAAUUGUUACUUCCCCCCAUGUAUAUAUAAAUAUUUUUACAUUAGACAUGAAACCUUUCUCCACUAAAUAAAUGACAUAUGGAGACUUAGACAUGUACUUCUGUUCUAUGUUACCAAAACUUUUUUCUUCUGUGCACUUUACCUUUUAUCUGAUAAACUAUUAAUGAAAUUAAACACCCUUAACAAACCAUGGAUGUCAUAUAACUUAUUUUGAAGAAAAAAACAUAAUUCUUAUUUUGUUGUAUUUCUGCAUUGUCUUUUCCUGAAGGUCUCUAUGUGAAUCUGUAACCUCUUCAUUGUCAUCCUCUUUGCUACAAGAAUGUUCAAGUCAUCCAGUGCUGCCCUGUUAUACUUGCAAGAGAUAAGAGUCACUAAAUCGGUAUUUUACAUAGUCUCAGAGAGGAGAGGAAAAAAAAAAAAAAAAGAUGAACAGCAUGUUUCUUUAGGAUUUUUUUUUUUCCAUUUUAUACUUUUAGAAGGCUUUCUUUAUUAUAAGUUUUAUUCUAUUUUUGCUGAUGCAGAAUAAACAUAUUCAAGUCUAUGUUCCAUUAACCAUUUUCACCUCAAUUGUCCACAACUUCCUCAGCCAGAUCUCUUUCUCUUUAAUAUAUUCCAUGGUUGGUUUCAGAUCAGAAGUGACAUUUCUGAGAGUAAAUAAAAUUUAGUCAGUCAACUUUUUUGGAUUUCUCCAUAUGUUUUAAAUCCGGAGAGCUGUCAAGAUGUCACUUAAUAGAUGACUUAGUAUCCAAUUUUUAGAUCUUAAGAAAAAGCAAAUGAGAUUUGAAUUUCAUAGCUUUAAAGUUUUGAACGC